RNAcentral lists this ribosomal RNA (460 nucleotides) under uncultured bacterium. Its description in RNAcentral is "partial 16S ribosomal RNA". It matches the Rfam family "Bacterial small subunit ribosomal RNA", at positions 338 to 795 of the family's 1533-position model. The record is from RNAcentral.
CCUACGGGAGGCAGCAGUGAGGAAUAUUGGUCAAUGGACGAGAGUCUGAACCAGCCAAGUAGCGUGAAGGAUGACUGCCCUAUGGGUUGUAAACUUCUUUUAUAAAGGAAUAAAACGAGGCACGUGUGCCUUUUUGCAUGUACUUUAUGAAUAAGGAUCGGCUAACUCCGUGCCAGCAGCCGCGGUAAUACGGAGGAUCCGAGCGUUAUCCGGAUUUAUUGGGUGUAAAGGGAGCGUAGAUGGGUUGUUAAGUCAGUUGUGAAAGUUUGCGGCUCAACCGUAAAAUUGCAAUUGAUACUGGCAGUCGUGAGUACAGUUGAGGUAGGCGGAAUUCGUGGUGUAGCGGUGAAAUGCUUAGAUAUCACGAAGAACCCCGAUUGCGAAGGCAGCUUACUAAACUGUGACUGACAUUGAUGCUCGAAAGUGUGGGUAUCAAACAGGAUUAGAUACCCCUGUAGUC